Molecule: long non-coding RNA, 151 nt
Organism: Dermochelys coriacea (leatherback sea turtle)
Lineage: Eukaryota; Metazoa; Chordata; Testudines; Dermochelyidae
Exons: 3
Source: RefSeq, a predicted model, not a curated record
UACCUUUAUCACCGGUUCCCUGACUGUCUCAAUUUGUGUUCUCCAGUGCCUGGGACAGUCUGCACCAGGAAUGUUAGGUUUCAUGCAGAUAGGUUUUGCAGCAUUUGAUAUUCAUUUGAUCAAGUGUCCUUAUUCUUUUGCAUCUCUCACA